This 483-nucleotide ribosomal RNA is filed under the name uncultured bacterium. Its description in RNAcentral is "bacterial SSU rRNA". It matches the Rfam family "Bacterial small subunit ribosomal RNA", at positions 775 to 1256 of the family's 1533-position model. The record is from RNAcentral.
AGUAAAUAGAUACCCGGGUAGUCCACGCCGUAAACGAUGAAUACUAGGUGUAGGGGUUGUCAUGACCUCUGUGCCGCCGCUAAACGCAUUAAGUAUUCCGCCUGGGGAGUACGGUCGCAAGAUUAAAACUCAAAGGAAUUGACGGGGGCCCGCACAAGCAGCGGAGCAUGUGGUUUAAAUUCGAAGCAACGCGAAGAACCUUACCUAGACUUGACAUCUCCUGAAUUACUCUGUAAUGGAGGAAGCCCUUCGGGGCAGGAAGACAGGUGGUGCAUGGUUGUCGUCAGCUCGUGUCGUGAGAUGUUGGGUUAAGUCCCGCAACGAGCGCAACCCUUAUUGUUAGUUGCUACCAUUAAGUUGAGCACUCUAGCGAGACUGCCCGGGUUAACCGGGAGGAAGGUGGGGAUGACGUCAAAUCAUCAUGCCCCUUAUGUCUAGGGCUACACACGUGCUACAAUGGCUGGUACAGAGAGAUGCUAAACC